RNAcentral lists this ribosomal RNA (331 nucleotides) under uncultured bacterium. RNAcentral describes it as "bacterial SSU rRNA". It matches the Rfam family "Bacterial small subunit ribosomal RNA", at positions 32 to 359 of the family's 1533-position model. The record is from RNAcentral.
AAUCAACGCUGGCGGCGUGCCUAACACAUGCAAGUCGAACGCGAAAGCCCGCAAGGGUAAGUAGAGUGGCGCACGGGUGAGUAACACGUGGACAACCUGCCUUCGAGUGGGGAAUAACCUUCCGAAAGGGGGGCGUAAUACCGCAUAAAACCUCGGAACACAAGUUCUGGGGUUGAAAAGAGCAAUUUGCUCGAAGAGGGGUCCGCGCCUGAUUAGCUAGUUGGUGAGGUAACGGCUCACCAAGGCUUCGAUCAGUAGCCGUCCUGAGAGGGAGCACGGCCACACUGGAACUGAGACACGGUCCAGACUCCUACGGGAGGCAGCAGUGGGG